AGAACGAACGCUGGCGGCAUGCCUAACACAUGCAAGUCGAACGCGUGUAGCGAUACACGAGUGGCGGACGGGUGAGUAACGCGUGGGAACCUGCCCUGGAGUGUGGGAUAACCGAGGGAAACUUCGGCUAAUACCGCAUACGACCUGAGGGUGAAAGAUUUAUCGCUCUAGGAGGGGCCCGCGUCGGAUUAGCUAGUUGGUGGGGUAAAGGCCUACCAAGGCAGUGAUCCGUAGCUGGUCUGAGAGGAUGAUCAGCCACACUGGGACUGAGACACGGCCCAGACUCCUACGGGAGGCAGCAGUGGGGAAUAUUGGACAAUGGGGGCAACCCUGAUCCAGCAAUGCCGCGUGAGUGAUGAAGGCCUUAGGGUUGUAAAGCUCUUUCGCGCGCGACGAUGAUGACGGUAGCGCGAGAGAGCCCGGCUACUUCGUGCCAGCAGCCGC
This 444-nucleotide ribosomal RNA is filed under the name uncultured bacterium. Its description in RNAcentral is "SSU rRNA". It matches the Rfam family "Bacterial small subunit ribosomal RNA", at positions 26 to 518 of the family's 1533-position model. The record is from RNAcentral.